Molecule: ribosomal RNA, 685 nt
Filed under: uncultured beta proteobacterium
Lineage: Bacteria; Pseudomonadati; Pseudomonadota; Betaproteobacteria
Description: bacterial SSU rRNA
Rfam family: Bacterial small subunit ribosomal RNA
Source: RNAcentral
ACGGUAACAGGUCUUCGGAUGCUGACGAGUGGCGAACGGGUGAGUAAUACAUCGGAACGUGCCUAGUAGUGGGGGAUAACUACUCGAAAGAGUGGCUAAUACCGCAUGAGAUCUACGGAUGAAAGCAGGGGAUCGCAAGACCUUGUGCUACUAGAGCGGCCGAUGGCAGAUUAGGUAGUUGGUGGGAUAAAAGCUUACCAAGCCGACGAUCUGUAGCUGGUCUGAGAGGACGAUCAGCCACACUGGGACUGAGACACGGCCCAGACUCCUACGGGAGGCAGCAGUGGGGAAUUUUGGACAAUGGGCGCAAGCCUGAUCCAGCAAUGCCGCGUGCAGGAUGAAGGCCUUCGGGUUGUAAACUGCUUUUGUACGGAACGAAAAGCCCUGGGUUAAUACCCUGGGGUCAUGACGGUACCGUAAGAAUAAGCACCGGCUAACUACGUGCCAGCAGCCGCGGUAAUACGUAGGGUGCGAGCGUUAAUCGGAAUUACUGGGCGUAAAGCGUGCGCAGGCGGUUUUGUAAGACAGAGGUGAAAUCCCCGGGCUCAACCUGGGAACUGCCUUUGUGACUGCAAGGCUAGAGUACGGCAGAGGGGGAUGGAAUUCCGCGUGUAGCAGUGAAAUGCGUAGAUAUGCGGAGGAACACCGAUGGCGAAGGCAAUCCCCUGGGCCUGUACUGACGCUC